Molecule: non-coding RNA, 31 nt
Filed under: Homo sapiens (human)
Lineage: Eukaryota; Metazoa; Chordata; Mammalia; Primates; Hominidae
Source: RNAcentral
UGCUUUUCNGCUUCUUCAUUAGUGCCUAAGC